Molecule: long non-coding RNA, 656 nt
Filed under: Urocitellus parryii (Arctic ground squirrel)
Lineage: Eukaryota; Metazoa; Chordata; Mammalia; Rodentia; Sciuridae
Description: lncRNA (ENSUPAG00010000190.1)
Source: RNAcentral
CUGGAGUCCUGUGGGAAGGUCACCAUGUGUGCCCAGGAGCUGCCUUGGACAGUCACAAGGACAAGAGAGGAGCUGGAGGUUCAGUGCCUGGAAGAAGCCAGACCUCGUGCAGGUCUUGCUUCAUCUCUUCCUGAGCACCCGCCUCUGAGCAGAGCAUGUUGGACUAAUGAUCGGCUGAAUUCCAGCAGUUUCCUGGGAUUUGCCUCAAGUUUGCAGCUGGACACAGAACUACAGUGAUGCUUUGGUGAAGAGUAUGAAGACGUUGUAUAGUGCACCCAGUCCCCAUCCACAGGGGAGUGGCAUCUUGGUGCCUGCCAUCUCACACGGAGAAGGCUCUGUUUCUGGCUCUCUUUUCUGUCCUACCAUCUUCUCCCUUAGACCUCCUAAGGCACCAUUUGGCUUUCUGUAGUUUCAGUUACCUAUGAUCCACUGCUGUCUAAGAGUUCAUAAAUUGUAAACCCUGUGCCUUUCUGAACUCCACACCACCCUGCUUGACUCUCCUGGAAUGUGAAUUACCCUUUGUCCCGUGUGUCCAUGCUGUCUAUGUAGCCCGCCUGUUAGUCACUUAGUAGCAUCUUGGUUAUCAGAUGGACAUGGUGUGCAGUGCCUGUGAUCAAGUAUUAACUUAAUAAAGCAUAACGGUUGUGAUACUGGCA